GUGUCAGCCGCCGCGGUAAUACGUAGGUGGCAAGCGUUGUCCGGAUUUAUUGGGUUUAAAGGGUGCGUAGGCGGUCCCAUAAGUCAGUGGUGAAAUACUCUAGCUUAACUAGAGGGGUGCCAUUGAUACUGUGGGACUUGAGUAGAGUUGAAGUGGGCGGAAUUGACGGUGUAGCGGUGAAAUGCUUAGAUAUCGUCAAGAACACCGAUAGUGAAGACAGCUCACUAAGCUCAAACUGACGCUGAGGCACGAAAGUGUGGGGAUCAAACAGGAUUAGAAACCCCGGUAGUCC
RNAcentral lists this ribosomal RNA (292 nucleotides) under uncultured bacterium. RNAcentral describes it as "partial 16S ribosomal RNA". It matches the Rfam family "Bacterial small subunit ribosomal RNA", at positions 505 to 796 of the family's 1533-position model. The record is from RNAcentral.